This 244-nucleotide ribosomal RNA is filed under the name uncultured bacterium. RNAcentral's name for it is "partial 16S ribosomal RNA". It matches the Rfam family "Bacterial small subunit ribosomal RNA", at positions 102 to 334 of the family's 1533-position model. The record is from RNAcentral.
ACGGGUGAGUAACGCGUGGAUAAUCUACCCUUAAGAUGGGGAGUAACGGCUGGAAACGGUCGCUAAUACCGAAUACGCUCCCGAUUUUAUCGUUGGGGGAAAGAUGGCCUCUGCUUGCAAGCUAUCGCUUAAGGAUGAGUCCGCGUCCCAUUAGCUAGUUGGCGGGGUAGCGGCCCACCAAGGCAACGAUGGGUAGCCGGUCUGAGAGGAUGACCGGCCACACUGGAACUGGAACACGGUCCAG